CUAAGAAUAUUCCGCAAUGGGGGGAAACCCUGACGGAGCGACGCCGCGUGGAUGAUGAAGGCCGGAAGGUUGUAAAAUCCUUUUGUGAGUGAGGAAUAAGCAGGGCAAGUAAAGGCCGUGCGGUGACUGUAGCUCAUGAAUAAGCACCGGCUAAUUACGUGCCAGCAGCCGCGGUAACACGUAGGGUGCGAGCGUUGUUCGGAAUCAUUGGGCGUAAAGGGCAUGUAGGCGGAACUGCAAGCCCGGUGUGAAAACCCUGAGCUUAACUCAGGAACUGCGCCGGGAACUGCAGAACUGGAGUCACUGAGGGGAAACC
This 316-nucleotide ribosomal RNA is filed under the name uncultured Treponema sp. RNAcentral describes it as "bacterial SSU rRNA". It matches the Rfam family "Bacterial small subunit ribosomal RNA", at positions 355 to 662 of the family's 1533-position model. The record is from RNAcentral. Lineage: Bacteria; Pseudomonadati; Spirochaetota; Spirochaetia; Treponematales; Treponemataceae.